This 210-nucleotide long non-coding RNA is filed under the name Capsella rubella. RNAcentral's name for it is "long non-coding RNA (CRUB_LNC002124)". The record is from RNAcentral. Lineage: Eukaryota; Viridiplantae; Streptophyta; Magnoliopsida; Brassicales; Brassicaceae.
AAGUGUAGAAAAUAAAUAAGACACAAAGCUAGUUAACGAGGUUCGGUUUUUCCCACUUCCCGGGACCAAGUCCAAAUUUUGAUUUCACUGGAACAAGAAAGCAAAUACAACCAAUUUGCAAACCUGUAAAUCAAGGACACUCCUCUUGAACUACUGCUCUGAACUACAAUAUGAAACAUUUAGGAUAAGUCUCUAUUCUUUACUAUCGGA